UCAGUCCACUGCAACCUCUGCCUCCCGGGUUCAAGUGAUCCUCCUGCCUCAGCCUCCCAAGUAGCUGGGAUUACAGGCAAGUACCAGCAUGCCCAGCUAAUUUUUGUAUUUUUAGUAGAGACACGGUUUCACCCAUGUUGGCUAGGCUGGUCUCAAACUCCGAGGCCACCCAAAGUGCUGGGAUACAGGCAUGAGCCACAGCACCCAGCCAGGUUUCCAUUGCCUUUCAUAUAUUAUUUCACUUCCUUUUCCUUAAAAAUUCCUUAUUUCGGUGAAAUUACUACUUUUUUAAAAAAAAUUUGCUUUAUCAGAAUGUAUACUGCUGCUAUGGUCUGAAUGUUUGUGUGUCCCCAGAAUUCAUAUAUUGAAACCUAAUCAGUCAUCACUGUGAUGGUAUUAGGAAGUGAGGCCCUUUGGAGAUACCCUCUUAUAUAAGAUUAGUGCCCUUAUAAAAAAAUGGCCACAGAGAGCUGCCAUACCCUUCCACUGUGUGACGACAUAGCAAGAAGUCACCAUCAUUGACCCUCACCAGACACCAGAUCUGCUGGUGCCUUCAUCUUGUACUUCUCAACUUCCAGAACUGUGAGAAAUAAAUGUUUGUUGUUUAUACAUCACCGAGUUUAUGGUGUUUUUGUUAUAAUAUACUGAACAGAUUAAGACACAUGUACACUUUUUUCUCUCUUCCUUUUUUUAAGAGACAGGGUCUCACUCUGUUGCCCAG
Molecule: long non-coding RNA, 721 nt
Filed under: Homo sapiens (human)
Lineage: Eukaryota; Metazoa; Chordata; Mammalia; Primates; Hominidae
Description: HSALNT0333490
Source: RNAcentral